UUCACCCACAGCAACCAUGACUCUGAUCAGGAUCUUCAUCUGCACACUGGUCCUCUGGACUCAAGGAUCCAGAGGUCAGGUAAUUGUGACUCAGACUCCGUCAGAGCAAACUGUUCCUCUAGGAAACACAGUCACCAUCAACUGUAGAACCAAUCUCCAAGUGUACAAUGGUAAUUACCUACACUGGUAUCUGCAGAAAACUGGAGAAGCUCCUAAACUUCUGAUCCAUCACGCUACUACCUUACACUCAGGAAUUCCAGAUCGUUUUAAAGGUAGUGGAGCUGACACUGACUUCACUCUGACCAUCAGUGGAGUCCAGGCUGAUGAUGCAGGAGAUUAUUACUGUCUUAGUGACCUCCAGAUCAGUGACAGUCAUGCUUGGAUCUUGGCAAGUCUAUCAGGAAUCUCUUAAUGGUUUAAAAAUCUAAAUCCCAGCAAGACUGAGCUGUCCACACAAUGGAUACACCUCGUCACCUCUUUCCUACAUAGAUGUUUUAUUUGAAGAAGAAUGAAUCUCAUGUACUCCACAUGGCUUGGCACAAACUGAAAACCUAACAAUGGCUUUCUCUCAACAAUGGCUUUCUUUGUGCCACUCUUCCAUAAAGGCCAGAUUUGUGGAGUGCACAACAAGUAGUGGAUAGAUUCUUCCACAUGAGCUGUGGAUUUCUGCAGCUCCUCCAGAGUUUACAUGGGCCUCUUGGCUGCUUCUCUGAUCAAUGCUGUCCUUUCCCAGCCUGUCAGUUUAGGUGGACGGCCAUGUCUUGGUUGGUUUGCAGUUGUGCCAUGUUCUUUACAUUUUA
Clarias gariepinus (North African catfish) is the source of this 800-nucleotide non-coding RNA. NCBI's taxonomy places the organism in Eukaryota, Metazoa, Chordata, Actinopteri, Siluriformes, Clariidae. The record is from the annotation of a RefSeq genome assembly.